UACGUAGGGUGCAAGCGUUGUCCGGAAUUAUUGGGCGUAAAGAGCUCGUAGGCGGUUUGUCGCGUCUGCUGUGAAAACCCGAGGCUCAACCCCGGGCCUGCAGCCGAUACGGGCAGACUAGAGUUCGGCAGGGGAGACUGGAAUUCCUGGUGUAGCGGUGAAAUGCGCAGAUAUCAGGAGGAACACCGGUGGCGAAGGCGGGUCUCUGGGCCGAUACUGACGCUGAGGAGCGAAAGCGUGGGGAGCGAACAGG
RNAcentral lists this ribosomal RNA (253 nucleotides) under uncultured bacterium. RNAcentral's name for it is "partial 16S ribosomal RNA". It matches the Rfam family "Bacterial small subunit ribosomal RNA", at positions 524 to 776 of the family's 1533-position model. The record is from RNAcentral.